Non-coding RNA from Myodes glareolus (Bank vole), 641 nucleotides. The record is from RefSeq and is a predicted model, not a curated record. NCBI's taxonomy places the organism in Eukaryota, Metazoa, Chordata, Mammalia, Rodentia, Cricetidae.
CUUUGCCAGCUGACCUUCUUCUGUUCCAUUUUUAGAUCACCACCAGCUGCAGUGACCUCUGACAGAUCAAACGUGUAAGCGAUACUGAAAGAGUGAAGCCUUAAGUGAAGCUACAUUUCUCCACAGUGGCCAGUUUCUACUGCGUAGACAUGCACUAUGCUGUGGAGGUUUGGACUGGACAAGUGUUUGUGUAUGGAUAAACCCACCAGUCCCCCUUAUGGAGACAAAGACAGAACCACACUCCUGACUUAUUUGGAUGACACAAUGCUCACACUCGAAAGUCUCUGCAGUUCUACAGCUCAUAAUCAGUAAUUUCUUACAGCUGAAACAAGAGGAUAUGGCUUUGUUCCAGGGUGAUAUGGAUCUAGUUUGAUCAAGGGAGACCUCCUGAAACUUGACACAUGUUAUUAUUCAACCAGAAGCAGUCGAGAGAAAAUGAUGUCCAUAUUGCCAAGGUGUGGGAAGCUUUUGGUUAACUGGUGGGUCAUGGAUGUUUCUUAGACUUAAGGGAAUAUAGGAGUAUAGGAGUGAUAAGAUGAAAGGGUAGACUGUUGAAUCUACUAACUAAAAGCAACUAUUAAUUUCAAAUAUUUUGCAUUGGGAUGGUCUUUCAUUUAUUGAUACAAAUUUAAGACAAUUUU